RNAcentral lists this long non-coding RNA (546 nucleotides) under Mytilus galloprovincialis (Mediterranean mussel). The record is from RNAcentral. Lineage: Eukaryota; Metazoa; Mollusca; Bivalvia; Mytilida; Mytilidae.
UUAAAGUUUUAAGUCAUAAUCAAGAAUCGUUUUUGAGAUACAGUGCGACAUGUGAAAAAAACACACCCUUGUUUUAGUUAUAAAGUGCCAUAACUCAAAAAGUUUAAAUCUUAUUUUCACCAAAAAGUAUACAGAUCAUUUGACCAUCAUAAGAAACAACUAUAUUAAGUUUCAUGAAAUUUGGAUAAGUCGUUCUCAAGUUACGGUGCAACAUGUUUACGCCGGACAGACGGACAGACGGACAGACAGAUGGACGGACACCGGACAUUUGUAUACCAUAAUACGUCCCGUCAAAAUUUUGACGGGCGUAUAAAAACCUAAAUGCACCUUUUUUAACAACAAAUUACAUAAAGAACAUAUGUAGAUGAUGUUAACUCCUGAUUGAUUUUAACCUGUAGAUAAAAACUCGGCCCAGGUCAUCAAAGUUCUACUGGACAUUUUAACACUAAAAUAUUGAUACAAUGUACUAUCAAACUUGGAAUAUGAUUUUUGUUGAGCCUGCUACUUUUGUCGCAGAAAGCUCGAUAUAGGGAAAGUGAUCCGGCG